GUAGUAUAAGCCUCUUCCC
This 19-nucleotide non-coding RNA is filed under the name Mus musculus (house mouse). The record is from RNAcentral. Lineage: Eukaryota; Metazoa; Chordata; Mammalia; Rodentia; Muridae.